This 449-nucleotide ribosomal RNA is filed under the name uncultured bacterium. RNAcentral's name for it is "bacterial SSU rRNA". It matches the Rfam family "Bacterial small subunit ribosomal RNA", at positions 28 to 457 of the family's 1533-position model. The record is from RNAcentral.
GACGAACGCUGGCGGCGUGCCUAACACAUGCAAGUCGAACGGAACUGUUUUGAAAGAUUUCUUCGGAAUGAAUUUGAUUUAGUUUAGUGGCGGACGGGUGAGUAACGCGUGAGUAACCUGCCUUCAAGAGGGGGAUAACAUUCUGAAAAGAAUGCUAAUACCGCAUGACAUAUCGGAAUCACAUGAUUCUGAUAUCAAAGAUUUUAUCGCUUGAAGAUGGACUCGCGUCCGAUUAGUUAGUUGGUGAGGUAACGGCUCACCAAGACCGCGAUCGGUAGCCGGACUGAGAGGUUGAACGGCCACAUUGGGACUGAGACACGGCCCAGACUCCUACGGGAGGCAGCAGUGGGGGAUAUUGCGCAAUGGGGGCAACCCUGACGCAGCAACGCCGCGUGAAGGAUGAAGGUUUUCGGAUUGUAAACUUCUUUUAUUAAGGACGAAAAAUGACG